This 470-nucleotide long non-coding RNA is filed under the name Cricetulus griseus (Chinese hamster). Its description in RNAcentral is "lncRNA (ENSCGRG00015031223.1)". Lineage: Eukaryota; Metazoa; Chordata; Mammalia; Rodentia; Cricetidae. The record is from RNAcentral.
AGGACCCUUUCAGGUUCUCCAUUGGGUUAAUAGAUUCCACACUACUCUGAAGACAUUAUUUCUGGUUUUUAUUUUUCUCAUUUUAAGAAUUUUCCCAGUACUAAAAUUAGCAAUGGCUCUAACAAUACCCACAUCACAGUUGCAGAGAAGCCUUGGGUCUUGAUGGAGCUGCUCUCCCUAUGACAUGCCUCUCUUUGAGUGCCAGUGAUGCAGAGGCCAGAGCUCAAGACAGUAGAAGCAGUCACCAAGGUCCAGCAUCAUUUCAUGAUGGACUAGAAGCAUGGAUGACAGUAAAGGAACAAAGCAGGAUGCCCUUUAAAGACACAGCCCCUGUGACUUCCUCCAGCUGGCUUCACCUUCCACAAUUUCAUUGCCUCCAUUAGAGUUCAGAUUUCCAGUCCAUCAAUAGAGUUAUACAAUAGAUUUUUAUCAGAAUGUGCAUGAUCUAAUUGUUUCUGGAAAUUCCCUCA